GAAGGACUGAGCCCAGGCUGGGAAAGGUGCCUGGCCUGUGACAGGAAUAGCUGGAGUUUUAAGCUGCAAGCAAGAGCAGUUUGCCUUCAGUAAACUCUGCAACCUGCUUAAAACAACAUUUAGGCUGGGUGUGUCCCUGCCUGCGUGUGCUGGGGAAGGCGAGAGGUCCUGACUCAGCCGGACGGUGAACGCAACAGAUCCCUUCGUCUGGUCAGAGCCCGAGGAGCUGGCGGUAGCUGUUAGGAAAAGGAGCGGGUUGAUCCAGAGAUCCCCACAUUCCGUAUCCAGCUGUGAGCUCAUCUAUCCCCAGCAAGCGGAAGGGGAGGGCGAACGAAAUGGUGCCUGCCUGUGACUUUACUCCCUAACACCGCGCCAGCGGUUACUUAACCCUUACAUGCUGCGACAGUAGCAGAUGAGGGGCCCAGCUCGGUGUCCAGAGCCCCACGCUCAGCUGGAC
Long non-coding RNA from Mauremys reevesii (Reeves's turtle), 457 nucleotides. RefSeq lists it as uncharacterized. The transcript is spliced from 3 exons. The record is from RefSeq and is a predicted model, not a curated record. Lineage: Eukaryota; Metazoa; Chordata; Testudines; Geoemydidae.